UUAAGCAACAAAAAUAAUCCAUUUCAAUCAUAAAUUGAACAAUCGCGAGGGAAAAAAUGAUCAGGCGGGCAGUAACUUGUAAACAGCAGAUCCUUCAGUAUACAUUUUCCUUCGUCUUUCAACAUGUGAAAGGACUUUGCAACUUCCAAAAAAAAAAAAAAAGUCUCUUACAGAUUCGGCAUUCCCAUUCCAGUUUUAGCAUCAUAUGUUUUCUCGGAGACCAAAUCCGACGGAGUAUCCUUGGGACCAACAACUGUUGGCCUUGUUGUGGUCCUAAUCUUCAAGAUCUCCAAUGAAGGGAUUUAAGCAUGCCUUUGCCGUGAAGAAUCUGAACAGAAGUUUGUAUCAUUUUGAAAUGUCAUGAGAUUUCUCUCAGAUUGCCUCUCCCGUGAAGCGCC
This 398-nucleotide long non-coding RNA is filed under the name Olea europaea (common olive). RNAcentral's name for it is "long non-coding RNA (OEUR_LNC007829)". Lineage: Eukaryota; Viridiplantae; Streptophyta; Magnoliopsida; Lamiales; Oleaceae. The record is from RNAcentral.